CCGGAGGAAGGUGGGGACGACGUCAAGUCAUCAUGGCCCUUACGAGUAGGGCUACACACGUGCUACAAUGGCGCAUACAGAGGGCGGCCAACUUGCGAAAGUGAGCGAAUCCCAAAAAGUGCGUCGUAGUCCGGAUUGGAGUCUGCAACUCGACUCCAUGAAGUCGGAAUCGCUAGUAAUCGUGGAUCAGAAUGCCACGGUGAAUACGUUCCCGGGCCUUGUACACACCGCCCGUCACACCAUGGGAGUGGGCUGCAAAAGAAGUAGGUAGUUUAACCUUCGGGGGGACGCUUACCACUUUGUGGUUCAUGACUGGGGUGAAGUCGUAACAAGGUAGCGCUAGGGGAACCUGGCGCUGGAUCACCUCCUUAAACGAUGAU
RNAcentral lists this ribosomal RNA (380 nucleotides) under Vibrio alginolyticus. Its description in RNAcentral is "partial 16S ribosomal RNA". It matches the Rfam family "Bacterial small subunit ribosomal RNA", at positions 1163 to 1533 of the family's 1533-position model. Lineage: Bacteria; Pseudomonadati; Pseudomonadota; Gammaproteobacteria; Vibrionales; Vibrionaceae. RNAcentral also lists the same sequence under 1 other name. The record is from RNAcentral.